This 127-nucleotide small RNA is filed under the name Marmota monax (woodchuck). The record is from RNAcentral. Lineage: Eukaryota; Metazoa; Chordata; Mammalia; Rodentia; Sciuridae.
GCUGGGUGCAGUGGCGCACGCCUGUCAUCCCAGCAGCUGGGGAGCCUGAGGCAGGAGGAUCCCAAGUUGGAGGCCAGCCUCAGCAACUCAGCGAGGCCCUAAGUAACUCCGGGACACCCUGUCUCUA